This 534-nucleotide ribosomal RNA is filed under the name uncultured Actinomycetes bacterium. RNAcentral describes it as "bacterial SSU rRNA". It matches the Rfam family "Bacterial small subunit ribosomal RNA", at positions 251 to 798 of the family's 1533-position model. The record is from RNAcentral. Lineage: Bacteria; Bacillati; Actinomycetota; Actinomycetes.
GUGUGGAGUACGGCCACCANGCGACGACGGGUAGCUGGUCUGANAGGACUACCAGCCACACUGGAACUGAGAUACGGUCCAGACUCCUACGGGAGGCAGCAGUGGGGAAUAUUGCACAAUGGGCGAAAGCCUGAUGCAGCGACGCCGCGUGAGGGAUGAAGGCCUUCGGGUCGUAAACCUCUUUCGGCAGGGACGAAGCGAUCAGUGACGGUACCUGCAGAAGAAGCCCCGGCUAACUACGUGCCAGCAGCCGCGGUAAGACGUAGGGGGCGAGCGUUGUCCGGAUUCAUUGGGCGUAAAGCGCGCGUAGGCGGCUGCGCAAGUCGGUUGUGAAAUUCCGGGGCUCAACCCCGGAACUGCGUCCGAUACUGCGUGGCUAGAGGUAGGUAGGGGAGAUCGGAAUUCCUGGUGUAGCGGUGAAAUGCGCANAUAUCAGGAGGAACACCGGUGGCGAANGCGGAUCUCUGGGCCUUACCUGACGCUCANGCGCGAAAGCUAGGGGAGCGAACAGGAUUAUAUACCCUGNUAGUCCUA